This 468-nucleotide ribosomal RNA is filed under the name Palaina albata. RNAcentral's name for it is "partial 16S ribosomal RNA". It matches the Rfam family "Bacterial large subunit ribosomal RNA", at positions 1851 to 2584 of the family's 2925-position model. Lineage: Eukaryota; Metazoa; Mollusca; Gastropoda; Architaenioglossa; Diplommatinidae. The record is from RNAcentral.
AGUCUAACCUGCCCAAUGAUGAUUUAAAUGGCUGCAGUAUCCUAACUGUACAAAGGUAGCAUAAUAAUUUGUUUUAUAAUUGAAGAAUGGAAUGAAUGGUUUGACAAGGGUGUGACUGUCUCUUAUGUAUUUGUUUGAAGUUAAUUUUUAGGUUAAAAAGCUUAAAUUAAAUUAAAGGACGAGAAGACCCUAUUGAGCUUAAAUUAAUAAUAAUAUUAAUAAAAAAUGGUUGAAAUUAAUUAUAGAAUUUUAUAGUUUUAGUUGGGGCGACUAGGGGACAAAUAAAGCUCCCUUUUAUAUUUUAUAAAGUUGUUUAUUGAUCCAAUUUUUUUGAAUUAAGACCAAGCUACCAUAGGGAUAACAGCGUUAUCUUUUUUGAGAGUUCUUAUCGAAAAAUAGGAUUGCGACCUCGAUGUUGGAUUAAGAUUUAAUAGAGGUUGCAGAAGCUUUUAUGUUUAGUCUGNNCGA